RNAcentral lists this ribosomal RNA (469 nucleotides) under Flavobacterium sp. oral taxon C73. RNAcentral describes it as "bacterial SSU rRNA". It matches the Rfam family "Bacterial small subunit ribosomal RNA", at positions 28 to 498 of the family's 1533-position model. Lineage: Bacteria; Pseudomonadati; Bacteroidota; Flavobacteriia; Flavobacteriales; Flavobacteriaceae. The record is from RNAcentral.
GAUGAACGCUAGCGGCAGGCUUAACACAUGCAAGUCGAGGGGUAUAUGUCUUCGGAUAUAGAGACCGGCGCACGGGUGCGUAACGCGUAUGCAAUCUACCUUUUACAGGGGGAUAGCCCAGAGAAAUUUGGAUUAAUACCUCAUAGUAUAGCUCUACCGCAUGGUAGUACUAUUAAAGUCACAACGGUAAAAGAUGAGCAUGCGUCCCAUUAGCUAGUUGGUAAGGUAACGGCUUACCAAGGCAACGAUGGGUAGGGGUCCUGAGAGGGAGAUCCCCCACACUGGUACUGAGACACGGACCAGACUCCUACGGGAGGCAGCAGUGAGGAAUAUUGGACAAUGGGCGCAAGCCUGAUCCAGCCAUGCCGCGUGCAGGAUGACGGUCCUAUGGAUUGUAAACUGCUUUUGUACGAGAAGAAACACUGCUUCGUGAAGCAGCUUGACGGUAUCGUAAGAAUAAGGAUCGGCU